ACGCUCGACACCUACGGGAGACAGCAGUGGGGAAUAUUGCACAAUGGAGGAAACUCUGAUGCAGCGAUGCCGCGUGAGGGAAGAAGGUUUUCGGAUUGUAAACCUCUGUCUUUGGGGACGAUAAUGACGGUACCCAAGGAGGAAGCUCCGGCUAACUACGCGCCAGCAGCCGCGGUAAUCUGAGCGGGCUGGCAAGGC
RNAcentral lists this ribosomal RNA (198 nucleotides) under uncultured bacterium. RNAcentral describes it as "partial 16S ribosomal RNA". It matches the Rfam family "Bacterial small subunit ribosomal RNA", at positions 328 to 539 of the family's 1533-position model. The record is from RNAcentral.